Oncorhynchus gorbuscha (pink salmon) is the source of this 1241-nucleotide long non-coding RNA. RefSeq lists it as uncharacterized. The transcript is spliced from 3 exons. Lineage: Eukaryota; Metazoa; Chordata; Actinopteri; Salmoniformes; Salmonidae. The record is from RefSeq and is a predicted model, not a curated record.
AAUGUCACAACGUUAAUGACCAUCAUCCUUGUUUAUUGAACUGCUUGGCUGCUUACGACACCUAAGUGCUGUGUGAAUCUGUCAUUCUGCUGUCUAUUUGCGUAAUGUCUGAAACGCUAAACAACACGAUGAAAUGCUACGUUUAAUCAGGAUCUUUCACACAAUGUAUCAAAGUAAAAGGAGCAACAGAGGAAAACAACGGAUAAAUCGUGAACUAAAUUUUGGAAUUUCUAAGCAAGCUGAGCUGACACAUAUUGAAAUAGCAGAGGUGAAAAGUGACGACAUGUUUCCAACCCAAGCGAAAGGAAAACCGAUAAGUGGCAGCAGCACCAAGGUUCAAACCACUACUAGGAGGAACACUGGAGUGACACUGCUUGGGUGUCCCAGUGAGAGCCGUCAUCUCACCUCCAGCCCGCCCAUCAGCUCAGUGUCACCCUGGCCUGCUGUCUGUCUCUCUACCGUCAAUGACACACUGACACACCAGACAUAUCUCCGCCGCCCCAGACGUGCUUGGCAGACAAAGACACCCUGACCCCAGGUCAGCCAGACCUCAGCCUCCAGCACAGACAGGAGAAGAUGACGGAUGACAAUGCACUCUUUAUUAGUCACCAUCAACCUUGUACUCUGUUGACCGACUGCCUGCCCACCACAACGAGUCUACCUACGAGCAAAUAUUAGGGUUUAAAGUGACCAUACUGUGUGUUACAUUACAGUUCACAGAUGCCUGGUAUAAUUUCCACUUUGGGUGAGUGAACCCUGUCAAUUGACGAGUGUGAAAUCUCUAGCGAUGUAUGUAAGGGUGUGUAGCUGAGGCAUACAUACCUGUGUGCUGCUAUCUCUGUGGCCUUGGUCCUCGGUGGCUCCUAUGUUGCUGUCUGUGCUGGCCUCGGCCCCGCGUCUGGCUGCCGGCUGGCUGGGAUGAUGCUGGCAGCGCUGAGUGGUGAGAUCUGGGUAGGGGGUGGGCAGUGGUCAUGUGGGGUGGGGUGGGGUGGGGUGAGGUGGGUGGCUCCUCAACACUGCUACCAUGACCGCUCUCUGUAUGAGCCCUAAUGUCUGAAGGGGGUUCCCGGUGCAAAGCUCCCUUUUGAAGCACAGCUGGCUUAGGAAGCAAAGUCUUUUCUUUUACCUUAUAUGAGCCGAGGGGCCGGCCCAACGCGAGAGCGGCAUGUGAGGGAAAGCCCCCCCGAGCUCUGUGAUUGGCUAGCAUGAGGGCCCCCGUGACCUCAGCCUGUGACCUGCAG